Molecule: long non-coding RNA, 569 nt
Organism: Mastomys coucha (southern multimammate mouse)
Lineage: Eukaryota; Metazoa; Chordata; Mammalia; Rodentia; Muridae
Exons: 2
Source: RefSeq, a predicted model, not a curated record
AGUGCUUCUCAGAACAUGGAGGACUCAAAGCGUCAGGGAGGACUCUUGCUGAUGAGAUCCUUAUAGGAGAACGAGCGCAGAGGCCCAGGCAGAAGAACCCUCAAGGAUAUCCACGCCCUAAAUUUGAGCUAUGGCUAAGGUUAUGUGCCUUGAGAUGGGAGAGCACUCUGUCCCGAGGAUCUGUAUCACCGAAGGCUGCCCAGCCUAACCAAUGUGUCUUCAAAGGCAGGAACUUCCUCUUCUGGCCGUAGGGGAAGAAGCAGCAAGGAUGCAGCGCAUCUCCUCCAGCGUUUAAGACACCGCAGAGAGCUUUGAGGCAAGGAUGCUUUAUCUUCUAAAGGCCAGUAGUAGCUUUCAGGGGAAUAACCAAGAAGAAAUAAAGUGGGGACAGGAGGAAACUUAAUUCCUCAACCACAUAAAACUUAGUUUUGUCAAUAUCUGGGAAAGGAAAGAAGUUACUUGCUACAGGCUACAGAGAGAGCUAUACUGUGAUUUUAACCUGAAGGGGCCCACAUUAAACUUGUGACUUGUUAAGUACAAAAUAAAAAAUUACCACUGUUGGGGGCUAA